This 202-nucleotide small nucleolar RNA is filed under the name Dasypus novemcinctus (nine-banded armadillo). Its description in RNAcentral is "Small nucleolar RNA U3 (ENSDNOG00000027701.2)". It matches the Rfam family "Small nucleolar RNA U3". Rfam says of the family: Small nucleolar RNAs (snoRNAs) are involved in the processing and modification of rRNA in the nucleolus. There are two main classes of snoRNAs: the box C/D class, and the box H/ACA class. The record is from RNAcentral. Lineage: Eukaryota; Metazoa; Chordata; Mammalia; Cingulata; Dasypodidae.
AAAACUAUACUUUCAGGGAUCAUUUCUAUAGCCCGUUACUAGGGAAUGUUCUCUGAACAUGUAUGGCCCACACAACCACGAGGAGGCGCAGCGUUCUCUCCUGAGCGUGGCGCAGGCUCUAGGUGUCCCUUUCUUAAUACUGCCUACUGCUGUUGAUGAUCCUUCUCUCUCAUUUUGCGGAAGAGGAAGAGAACACAGUAGU